AGUGAACGCUGGCGGUAGGCCUAACACAUGCAAGUCGAACGGCAGCACAGUAAGAGCUUGCUCUUACGGGUGGCGAGUGGCGGACGGGUGAGGAAUACAUCGGAAUCUACUUUUUCGUGGGGGAUAACGUAGGGAAACUUACGCUAAUACCGCAUACGACCUACGGGUGAAAGCAGGGGACCUUCGGACCUUGCGCGAUUGAAUGAGCCGAUGUCGGAUUAGCUAGUUGGCGGGGUAAAGGCCCACCAAGGCGACGAUCCGUAGCUGGUCUGAGAGGGUGAUCAGCCACACUGGAACUGAGACACGGUCCAGACUCCUACGGGAGGCAGCAGUGGGGAAUAUUGGACAAUGGGCGCAAGCCUGAUCCAGCCAUACCGCGUGGGUGAAGAAGGCCUUCGGGUUGUAAAGCCCUUUUGUUGGGAAAGAAAAGCAGCAGGUUAAUACCCCGCUGUUCUGACGGUACCCAAAGAAUAAGCACCGGCUAACUUCGUG
This 492-nucleotide ribosomal RNA is filed under the name uncultured bacterium. Its description in RNAcentral is "partial 16S ribosomal RNA". It matches the Rfam family "Bacterial small subunit ribosomal RNA", at positions 29 to 507 of the family's 1533-position model. The record is from RNAcentral.